UUAAUGGCCCUCCAAAGGGCCACAGUAAAUAAACAAAAAUACAAUAU
This is a non-coding RNA of Oryctolagus cuniculus (rabbit), 47 nucleotides long. NCBI's taxonomy places the organism in Eukaryota, Metazoa, Chordata, Mammalia, Lagomorpha, Leporidae. The record is from Rfam.